ACGGAGGAUCCAAGCGUUAUCCGGAUUUAUUGGGUUUAAAGGGUGCGUAGGCGGAUAAAUAAGUCAGUGGUGAAAGCCUGCAGCUUAACUGUAGAAUUGCCAUUGAUACUGUUUAUCUUGAAUGUAGUUGAGGUGGGCGGAAUAUGACAUGUAGUGGUGAAAUACUUAGAUAUGUCAUAGAACACCGAUUGCGAAGGCAGCUCACUAAGCUACGAUUGACGCUGAGGCACGAAAGCGUGGGGAGCAAACAGGAUUAGAUACCCUGGUAGUCCACGCCCUAAACUAUGAUCACUCGAUGUUGGCGAUACACAGUCAGCGUCUAAGGGAAACCAUUAAGUGAUCCACCUGGGGAGUACGACCGCAAGGUUG
This 369-nucleotide ribosomal RNA is filed under the name uncultured bacterium. RNAcentral's name for it is "bacterial SSU rRNA". It matches the Rfam family "Bacterial small subunit ribosomal RNA", at positions 525 to 896 of the family's 1533-position model. The record is from RNAcentral.